UUUUUUUUUUUAAGAAAACAUCUUUUAUUAGAGGGGUGUGCAUUAGUAUCAUGGCACAUGUGUGGAGGUGGUCAGAGGACAACUUGGGGAGUCCUUCCACCAUGGGAUCAAACUCAGGGUCAUUGGCUUGGCAGAUAGCACCCUUAGCCACUGAGGCGUUUUAUGAUCCUUGGAUUAUUUCCUUUUCCUAGGUACUGCCUAGGUAGGCUGGUCAUGAAUUAUCCUGGACCUCAACGGCCUUACUUUUGGGGUCACAGCACCACCAGGCCCAGUGUGCCAGCUUUUGAAAAAUAUGUCAACUCUAAAGUACAAAUAAGGCUUUUUACAUUAAAAAAAAAAAAAAGACUUUAUUUUUAGUUAUGUGUGGGCGUGCAGGUGUCCACAGAGGCCAGAAGAGGGUGCUGGAUCCCCUGGAGCUAAGUUGUGAACUGCUGAUGGGGGGUGCUGAGAAUGGAACUCUAUGAAAACAGGAUGUACGCUUCACCUCUGAGCCACUUCUCCAGCCCCUCUGGUGUUCCACCUGCUCCCCUCCCUAGCCUAAGCCCAUCUUUGAUUUCCUGCUUUCUUUAACCCUAACCUGGAAACCCUCCCAAACUAGGAACAGACCUGUGUGUGCCCCAGACAUAGGUCUGCCAGCUUCUCUUCACAGGCUGUCUGUGGGGUUUAUGGGUCUUGAAGAGAUCCAAGGCACAUUGGGCCUGGCCCCGUGGCACAGUGGAGGACAUAGAGUCCGAUGUACACACCCCAGCGCUGGGGUGGGUGAAGUGUGGGAUGGAGAUUCGCAGAAUGUGAAAGACACCAGAAGUGGUCCCCACAAAACCUGUGGCUUUUGUCUCUACCUUUUCCACUUGCAGAGGCUCAGAGAGGUGAAAUGCCAGCCAGAGAUCACACAGCAAGCCCUGCAAAGGGGCAGGGGUUUCUAACCCUAGGAGAGGUAGCCCUUGGAAAGCCUUCAGCUCUUCCCUGCUGGGUGUAGUGGUUCAUGCCUGUCAUCAUGGCACAGCUGCUAGGUUGAAGACAAGCAGAGUGAGACCCAUCUCAAACAGCUAGGCAAGCUGGAACACACCUGUUAUGCCAGCGUGUGGCAGGUAGAGGCAGGAGGAUCAGAAGUUCGGAUCAUCCCUAUUCUGUUUGGUUGGCUUUUAUUGUUUGAAAAGGUUUCUCUGUGUAGCCCUGGCUGUUCUGGAACUCACUCUGUAGACCAGGCUGGCCUGAAAUUCAGAGACCUACCUGCCUCUGCCUUCUUCGUACUGGGAUUAAAGGCUUUGGUCAUC
This 1274-nucleotide long non-coding RNA is filed under the name Mus musculus (house mouse). RNAcentral describes it as "long non-coding RNA chr8:70148667-70149941". The record is from RNAcentral. Lineage: Eukaryota; Metazoa; Chordata; Mammalia; Rodentia; Muridae.